RNAcentral lists this unclassified non-coding RNA (1794 nucleotides) under Hevea brasiliensis (rubber tree). The record is from RNAcentral. Lineage: Eukaryota; Viridiplantae; Streptophyta; Magnoliopsida; Malpighiales; Euphorbiaceae.
GGUGUUUGAUAAAUCAAAAUAAAAAUAAAUAUACAAGAUAAUUUUUUUUCCAUUAUAUAUUUGGUUGAAAUUUAGGAGGCAUUUUGCCUGUAGCAUGAGAAAAUCUUAUUCUUCUAUAUACAAAAAAGAGUUCAACAUGGAGGCAAUUAUUAAUAAUUAGAAGACAUAUUACUAAAUAAUAAUUCAAACCCAUCUCUUGAUAAUCCUCACCUUCAAGCCAUGUUUCAUCUGAAGAAUAAUGGAGAUAUUAGGAGACACAGGAUGCCCUUCCACUAACUGAACAUGGUAGUUAUGGAUUAUGGCAGCUGCCACCGUCUUCAUCUGAACGAAAGCCACUUCUUUCCCCAAACAAGUUCUUGGUCCUGCAUUAAAAGCUAAAAACUUGUAUGAUGGCUCAUGCCUGAUCUUUCCUCCCUCUGUAAUCCACCUUUCUGGCUUAAAUUCGAAGCAGUCUUUUCCCCAUAUGGAUGCCAUUCUUCCCAUUGAAUAUAAGCAUAUCACUAUCUUCAUUUCAGGAGUCACUCGGUGCCCGCUUGGAAGCACAUCUUCCUUGAUAGGCUCCUUGUGCUGGAAUGGAACUGGUGGGUAGAGCCUUAGCGAUUCACAGAGUGCACCAUGAAGAUAAACUAGCUUGUUUACCUCCUGUGGAUUGAAUAGUCGCCAAUUUUCUGCUUCGUUUGCUGGCAUACUUGCUUUAAGCUCCUCUCUGAUCUUGCUUUCUACUUGAGGAUUCUUGGAAACAAGCCAUAAGAACCAUGUGAGAGCAGAACUUGUGGUGUCUCUCCCUGCAAGUAGCAAAUUUAUAAUGGUAUCUCUUAGAAAUUUGUCGUCUGGUUUAGAUCCCAUGAUUUCAGCAUCUCUCAUAUAUGAUGUUAACAAAUCAACACCCUCUGAUUCAUCUUCUGAGGAAAGUGAUAGACUGCUGAGUUGUUUUCUUUUCCUUGAGAUAUAUUCUGCUGAUAUACUAUCUAGAAUUUUCCAAGCUCUUUCUAUUUUCCCCUCUGGUCCGAUUCUUAGAAUCCUUUGUAACUUCCAGAGCCAUUCAGGCGUUAAAUGCCUGAAAAACAACGCUUCUUCAGCAUCAUCCAUGGCCUUGGAGAAUUCUACUUCUGGGAAAUCAAUCGACAGGCAUCUUGGAUUGUAGCCUGUAGCCAAUAUGCAUGUGAUAUCAAAUGUGAACCUCUGAAACACAUCUUGCAUGUCCACCACUAAUCCUUGUUCAGCUACAUGCUCAAGGACUGGAACUAGCCCUUUCUCCACCAUGUCCCGACUGGUCUUCACCAAGAACUGGUGAAACCGCGGAUGGUUAAUCAAUGCUUGAGCAAGUUUUCUCUGGUUCUUCCACCAUUCUGAAUCCGAAUUGAAAAUCCCUCGUCCCAGAAUGUCAAAGAUCUUGGAGAACUCGGUUCCUUUAGGAAAGUUUGAGAAGUUUGCGCUCAUUAUGUAGUGGACGUUGGCUGGCUCAACUGUGGCUAACAAUUUGACGUUGGUAAACCAGGGACCUUGGAAGAAAAAGGUUUUCCCAUUUCGCUCAACAACUUUUGUGAUUGUAUCGUGUGCUCGGUGAAGGCGGGAAAGAAAAUUCGGCAGCAUACCGACGACUGGCCAAUUUGUGGGUUUGCCCUUUUUUUUGAACAAAAAGCGAAACAACACAAAACUAACGACUGCUGCGAAGAUCUCCAGAAUGGUUACUAUGGCCAUUGCUAAGCUCUGCGCACUACUUUGAGUUCUUGAAACCAGAGUCUCGGUCUCUCUCUCUAUAUACAAUAUAAAAAUAUCUUUCCAGUUUCUCCA